GAUGAACGCUGGCGGCGUGCCUAAUACAUGCAAGUCGAGCGAACAGACGAGGAGCUUGCUCCUCUGACGUUAGCGGCGGACGGGUGAGUAACACGUGGAUAACCUACCUAUAAGACUGGGAUAACUUCGGGAAACCGGAGCUAAUACCGGAUAAUAUAUUGAACCGCAUGGUUCAAUAGUGAAAGACGGUUUUGCUGUCACUUAUAGAUGGAUCCGCGCCGCAUUAGCUAGUUGGUAAGGUAACGGCUUACCAAGGCAACGAUGCGUAGCCGACCUGAGAGGGUGAUCGGCCACACUGGAACUGAGACACGGUCCAGACUCCUACGGGAGGCAGCAGUAGGGAAUCGUCCGCAAAGGGCGAAAGCUUGACGGAGCAACGCCGCGUGAGUGAUGAAGGUCUUCGGAUCGUAAAACUCUGUUAUUAGGGAAGAACAAAUGUGUAAGUAACUAUGCACGUCUUGACGGUACCUAAUCAGAAAGCCACGGCUAACUACGUG
RNAcentral lists this ribosomal RNA (497 nucleotides) under uncultured bacterium. RNAcentral describes it as "partial 16S ribosomal RNA". It matches the Rfam family "Bacterial small subunit ribosomal RNA", at positions 28 to 507 of the family's 1533-position model. The record is from RNAcentral.